Molecule: long non-coding RNA, 420 nt
Filed under: Bos taurus (domestic cattle)
Lineage: Eukaryota; Metazoa; Chordata; Mammalia; Artiodactyla; Bovidae
Description: long non-coding RNA NONBTAT017084
Source: RNAcentral
AUAUUUUAAAUCUCAUAUAGAACUGACCAAGAUUAUCCUAGUAUUCCAGCAGCUGGUAUUCUAACACUAGGAAUUCUUUAAAAAAAAUUAGCCCCUGGACAUUAGCCAUUAGACCCUGUUGCAAAGAAAGGUUGAGAUGGAUUAUCCUGAAUAAGUAGUAAAUGCUUAUUUAGGUAGUUUCUGAGACAGCUUUAUUAAUGUAUAAGAACAAAUACUCUAUUUUAAUGAGUUAGGAAUCCAUCUUGGUUUUGUUUUCUAAAUAGAAUUCUAGGUUCAAAACUUUUGAGGAGAUAAUAGUGAGGCUUUAUUGGGUACUCUUCAUACACGUGGGAUGGAGAGUUGGCUUAUAAAAUAGUUCGUCUUCCGAAUCUGUUUAACUUAGCCCAAUUUAAAUUGUAUUAACAGUCUGGUUUUUUUUUU